AUGAUCCCUUGGGAGUCCAGCCUCCUAUACCUUUUUCCACCAAUCCCACUCAUCCAGAAAACCCUGGUCAGAGCUUGUCAGCUGAAAUCAGAUGCAAUCUUCAUUGCACUGUGGUGGCCUUGUCAGCCUUGGUUUUCCACCUCAAGACAAUGGAAGUUACCACGCUUAUCACUCAGGAUUCAGGCAACAUCAUCCAGAUCUCAAGUCACUACAUCUCACAGCUUGGAUGAUCACCCAUCGAUCAAGGGGGUUCUACAUAAAGCUAAGAAGCCUUCUACCAACCUUCUUUAUAAAUACAAGUGGAAAUUUUUUCUCAAUUUUGCUCAAUCAAAUCAUCUUCAAGUUUCCCCAGUUUCUCUGUCUACCUUACUUCAAUAUUUGCGCUAUUUGUUUGACUCCGGUUUGGCAUUAUCCACACUCAAAGUUUACAUCUCGACAAUUGUUUCUUUCCAACCUCGUGACUCAGAUUCUGCACGUUUUUUCUCCCACCCUACUCUCAAAUCCUUUUUGAAAGGCCUAUCAAAUAUCCAACCACCCAUCAAACCUCCUAUACCUCAGUGGUCUCUUCAGGUUGUUUUGUGUGUGCUUACGCGCCACCCGUUUCAACUGAUGGCCUCCUGUGACAUUCGUUUGCUGUCAUUUAAAACUUUGUUUUUGGUUGCCAUUACAUCUGCGAGAAGAGCGAGCAAACUAGCAGCUCUCAGGUCUGAUUCCCCUUAUCUAAAACUCUUCAAAUACAAGGUUACUUUAUAUCGUGACAUUUCCUUCUUACCUAAAGUUGUCUCCGAUUUCCACCUUAAUCAAUCCCUUAUAUUGCCUACUUUGUUUCUUGAACCUAUAUUGGAUAUUGAACGCUUGCUUCACUCGUUGGACGUUAGGAGAGCCUUGGCGUAUUAUGUUUCACGCACUAAGGACUUCGUACUGAACCAAGGCUGUUUAUAUGAUGUUUCCAUGGACAAUAUAGAGGUUCUCCUGCUUCCUCUUCAACUGUCUCCAGAUGGCUUGUCUCAACUAUUUCUCUGGCCUACGAACUGCAAAGCAAAACUCCCCCUGGAGGUCUCAAACCACAUUCCACCAGAGCUGUUGCAACAUCUACAGCCUUGCUAUAUGGUCUCGAUGUUCCAGGCAUCUGUAGAGCAGCCACUUGGUCUAAUGUGUCAACCUUCGUGA
RNAcentral lists this long non-coding RNA (1170 nucleotides) under Pogona vitticeps (central bearded dragon). RNAcentral describes it as "lncRNA (ENSPVIG00000002327.1)". The record is from RNAcentral. Lineage: Eukaryota; Metazoa; Chordata; Lepidosauria; Squamata; Agamidae.